This 427-nucleotide ribosomal RNA is filed under the name uncultured bacterium. Its description in RNAcentral is "partial 16S ribosomal RNA". It matches the Rfam family "Bacterial small subunit ribosomal RNA", at positions 355 to 774 of the family's 1533-position model. The record is from RNAcentral.
UGGGGAAUAUUGCACAAUGGGCGCAAGCCUGAUGCAGCCAUGCCGCGUGUAUGAAGAAGGCCUUCGGGUUGUAAAGUACUUUCAGCGGGGAGGAAGGAGGUGUGGUGAAUAACCACAGCAAUUGACGUUACCCGCAGAAGAAGCACCGGCUAACUCCGUGCCAGCAGCCGCGGUAAUACGGAGGGGGCAAGCGUUAAUCGGAAUUACUGGGCGUAAAGCGCACGCAGGCGGUCUGUCAAGUCGGAUGUGAAAUCCCCGGGCUCAACCUGGGAACUGCAUCCGAAACUGGCAGGCUUGAGUCUUGUAGAGGGGGGUAGAAUUCCAGGUGUAGCGGUGAAAUGCGUAGAGAUCUGGAGGAAUACCGGUGGCGAAGGCGGCCCCCUGGACAAAGACUGACGCUCAGGUGCGAAAGCGUGGGGAGCAAACA